Molecule: ribosomal RNA, 198 nt
Filed under: uncultured bacterium
Lineage: Bacteria
Description: partial 16S ribosomal RNA
Rfam family: Bacterial small subunit ribosomal RNA
Source: RNAcentral
ACGCUCGACACCUACGGGGGCAGCAGUGGGGAAUAUUGCACAAUGGGGGAAACCCUGAUGCAGCAACGCCGCGUGAAGGAAGACGGUUUUCGGAUUGUAAACUUCUGUUCUUAGUGAAGAUAGUGACGGUAGCUAAGGAGCAAGCCACGGCUAACUACGUGCCAGUAGCCGCGGUAAUCUGAGCGGGCGUGGCAAGGC